AACAGAAACAAGAGAAGAAAGAACUCCAAACACUCCACUAAUGGCAGAUUGCAUGUGCAAGGUUUCUCCCUCCUUUGGACUGCACGGCACUACUUCUUUCUCCUUCAAUGGUGUCUGCACGAGGUGGUGAUGGUGGUGGAAAGGUGCGGCUGUGGUGGAUGAAUGGUUAUUUGAAUAGGGUAGAAGGGUUAAGGGGAUUAGGGGGCACGGCAGAGACUUAGAACUAGGGAGAAUGAUGUGGUGGUUGCGGCAAGGCUUAGGGUAGAUUUCUGGAGAGAAUGGAUGAUAUGGGAUGUGGUAUAUUUUCGGCCAAAGCUUUAAAGGAGUAUAUCUAGGCACUUAAAAACCCUAGCAAUCAGAUUAGAGUUUCUAGAAGCCCAAAUCCAACAGAAAAUAGGUUAAAACAAUCAGAUUUUGCAUGGGAAAAGGCCUAGGGUUCGGCUGGUUUAGUGGGCUAAGGUUAAGGCUUCUAGAAUGCCUUGCAAGGCAAGGAAAUUAGGUAUUUAAAACCCUAGGUGAGGCAUAGGAUUAGGGAGAUCAGAUUUGGAAAUGGGCUAGGGUUUAGGUGCGGCAUAUGGUGAAUGAUAGGAGCAUAUUUAUGCGCCUUAGUUAGCUAGUUCUUAUGCAUUUUUGUUAUGUUUUCUUUGUUAAAGUAGUCUUU
This 661-nucleotide long non-coding RNA is filed under the name Malus domestica (apple). RNAcentral's name for it is "long non-coding RNA (MDOM_LNC019742)". The record is from RNAcentral. Lineage: Eukaryota; Viridiplantae; Streptophyta; Magnoliopsida; Rosales; Rosaceae.